This 354-nucleotide ribosomal RNA is filed under the name cf. Rhabdoblatta sp. 6 FL-2016. Its description in RNAcentral is "12S ribosomal RNA". The record is from RNAcentral. Lineage: Eukaryota; Metazoa; Arthropoda; Insecta; Blattodea.
UUUAGACUUAAAUAUUAUAACUUAAGUAGUAAUAGAUAUAGUCUUGAAACUUAAAGAAUUUGGCGGUAUUUUAGUCUAUUUAGAGGAAUCUGUUCCAUUAUCGAUAAUCCACGUUGGACCUUACUUAAUUUAGUUAAAUAUGUAUACCGCCGUAUAUUUGAAGAUCUUAUUAGGGUAAAUUUUCUUAAAAUUUAAGAUUAAUAGUAUUUCAGGUCAAGGUGCAGUUUAUAAUUAAGUGGAAAUGGAUUACAUUAUUAUUUUAUAUACGAAUUAAAUAUUGAAAUAUAUUUAUGAAGGUGGAUUUAAUAGUAAUUUUAAUAAGAUUAUUAAAAUGAUUUUAGCUCUAGAAUGUGU